RNAcentral lists this ribosomal RNA (253 nucleotides) under uncultured bacterium. Its description in RNAcentral is "partial 16S ribosomal RNA". It matches the Rfam family "Bacterial small subunit ribosomal RNA", at positions 524 to 776 of the family's 1533-position model. The record is from RNAcentral.
UACGUAGGGUGCAAGCGUUGUCCGGAAUUAUUGGGGGUAAAGAGCUCGUAGGCGGUCUGUUGCGUCGGCUGUGAAAACCCGGGGCUCAACUCCGGGCCUGCAGCCGAUACGGGCAGACUAGAGUUCGGCAGGGGAGACUGGAAUUCCUGGUGUAGCGGUGAAAUGCGCAGAUAUCAGGAGGAACACCGGUGGCGAAGGCGGGUCUCUGGGCCGAUACUGACGCUGAGGAGCGAAAGCGUGGGGAGCGAACAGG